Molecule: ribosomal RNA, 375 nt
Filed under: uncultured eukaryote
Lineage: Eukaryota
Description: partial 18S ribosomal RNA
Rfam family: Eukaryotic small subunit ribosomal RNA
Source: RNAcentral
CAAUAGCGUAUAUUUAAGUUGUUGCAGUUAAAAAGCUCGUAGUUGGAUUUCGGUUAAGAGCGACCGGUCCGCCGUUUGGUGUGCACUGGUUGGUUUUAGCUUCCUGUAGAGGACGUGCUCUGGGUUUAACGACCUGGACUCGGAGUCUACGUGGUUACUUUGAAAAAAUUAGAGUGUUCAAAGCGGGCUUACGCUUGAAUAUUUCAGCAUGGAAUAACACUAUAGGACUCCUGUCCUAUUUCGUUGGUCUCGGGACGGGAGUAAUGAUUAAGAGGAACAGUUGGGGGCAUUCGUAUUUCAUUGUCAGAGGUGAAAUUCUUGGAUUUAUGAAAGACGAACUUCUGCGAAAGCAUUUGCCAAGGAUGUUUUCAUUAA